RNAcentral lists this long non-coding RNA (269 nucleotides) under Carica papaya (papaya). RNAcentral's name for it is "long non-coding RNA (CPAP_LNC008212)". Lineage: Eukaryota; Viridiplantae; Streptophyta; Magnoliopsida; Brassicales; Caricaceae. The record is from RNAcentral.
UCCGGGACAUGCAUAUUAGUCUCAAGAUAAUGGCAAAAAGUCCUGAAUUUGGUUAACUCUAAAGCUCAGUAUAUGCAAGUGAAUGAUGCAGAUGAAUGAAUCUUAAAAGUUUUCACAAGCACUUAUUGGGUGAGGUACUCUAGCUUUUAAUCCAAAAACGGUUUCCAAUCUCACUUGCUAGGUGGUUACUCUACUUUUGAAUGCAAUAUGCAACAACGUGCCAAUUGCCUUAUGGUGUGCAAUUGGGAUUUUUUUGUAUUUUUAAUUUU